GAUGAACGCUGGCGGCGCGCCUAAUACAUGCAAGUCGAGCGAGAAGACGUAGCAAUACGUUUGUAAAGCGGCGAACGGGUGAGGAAUACAUGGGUAACCUACCCUCGAGUGGGGAAUAACUAGCCGAAAGGUUAGCUAAUACCGCGUACGCUUCUUGGACUUCGGCUCAGGGAGGAAAGCGAUACCGUGGGUAUCGCGCUCUUGGAUGGGCUCAUGUCCUAUCAGCUUGUUGGGAGGUAACGGCUCACCAAGGCUUCGACGGGUAGCUGGUCUGAGAGGACGAUCAGCCACACUGGCACUGCGACACGGGCCAGACUCCUACGGGAGGCAGCAGUAAGGAAUAUUGCGCAAUGGGCGAAAGCCUGACGCAGCGACGCCGCGUGGGGGAGGU
RNAcentral lists this ribosomal RNA (391 nucleotides) under uncultured bacterium. RNAcentral's name for it is "bacterial SSU rRNA". It matches the Rfam family "Bacterial small subunit ribosomal RNA", at positions 28 to 411 of the family's 1533-position model. The record is from RNAcentral.